RNAcentral lists this ribosomal RNA (251 nucleotides) under uncultured Micrococcaceae bacterium. Its description in RNAcentral is "partial 16S ribosomal RNA". It matches the Rfam family "Bacterial small subunit ribosomal RNA", at positions 667 to 914 of the family's 1533-position model. Lineage: Bacteria; Bacillati; Actinomycetota; Actinomycetes; Micrococcales; Micrococcaceae. The record is from RNAcentral.
CGGCCGACGUCGACGUGGAUGCGCAGAUAUCAGGAGGAACACCGAUGGCGAAGGCAGGUCUCGUGGGCUGUAACUGACGCUGAGGAGCGAAAGCGAUGGGGAGCGAACAGGAUUAGAUACCCUGGUAGUCCAUGCCGUAAACGUUGGGCACUAGGUGUGGGGACCAUUCCACGGUUUCCGUGCCGCAGCUAACGCAUUAAGUGCCCCGCCUGGGGAGUACGGCCGCAAGGCUAAAACUCAAAUGAAUUGAC